This 468-nucleotide ribosomal RNA is filed under the name uncultured bacterium. RNAcentral describes it as "partial 16S ribosomal RNA". It matches the Rfam family "Bacterial small subunit ribosomal RNA", at positions 28 to 507 of the family's 1533-position model. The record is from RNAcentral.
GACGAACGCUGGCGGCGUGCUUAACACAUGCAAGUCGAACGGAAAGGCCCUGCUUUUGUGGGGUGCUCGAGUGGCGAACGGGUGAGUAACACGUGAGUAACCUGCCCUUGACUUUGGGAUAACUUCAGGAAACUGGGGCUAAUACCGGAUAGGAGCUCCUGCUGCAUGGUGGGGGUUGGAAAGUUUCGGUGGUUGGGGAUGGACUCGCGGCUUAUCAGCUUGUUGGUGGGGUAGUGGCUUACCAAGGCUUUGACGGGUAGCCGGCCUGAGAGGGUGACCGGCCACAUUGGGACUGAGAUACGGCCCAGACUCCUACGGGAGGCAGCAGUGGAGAAUAUUGCACAAUGGGCGGAAGCCUGAUGCAGCAACGCCGCGUGCGGGAUGACGGCCUUCGGGUUGUAAACCGCUUUCGCCUGUGACGAAGAGUGAGUGACGGUAAUGGGUAAAGAAGCACCGGCUAACUACGUG